GCUUUAGAAGAUGGGUCGUGGAUGUUUGAUAAGGAUUUGGUGGUCGUCGAGGAUUAUGUCCCUAGCAAGAGGCCGGAGGAUUACACCCGCAAUAAUAUCCCAAUAUGGGUUAGGGUUUACAACCUUCCCCUGGGUAUGAUGAGAGGAAGCGCGGAAGAUACUGGAAACAUCAUUGGAGUUUUUGUUGAAGUGGAUACAGGGUCGGAUGGGAAGGCGUCUGGGAGGUUCCUUCAUGUUAAAGUGAGAAUGCAAAUUGAUAAACCUUUGAUGAGAGGAUUUACUCUUGAGGAGGAGCGGGUGGAAGCUGGAGCUGAAGGUUCGGAGAGGACAACCAUGGUGCAUGGGGAGGAAGAGGAAGGGAGGGACUGGUGCAGAUUGGAGUAUGAGUACUUACUGGACUUCUGUUAUACUUGCGGGAUCAUUGGCCACGGAGAGAAGGACUGCGUCACUAAACUGAAGAAAGGUGAACAACCACAGUUUGGUCGCUAGCUGAGGGCUGACGUAGGAUAG
This 510-nucleotide ribosomal RNA is filed under the name Triticum aestivum (bread wheat). Its description in RNAcentral is "partial small subunit ribosomal RNA". The record is from RNAcentral. Lineage: Eukaryota; Viridiplantae; Streptophyta; Magnoliopsida; Poales; Poaceae.